GCAACCCGCCUGCGUGAAGUUGGAAUCGCUAGUAAUCGCGGAUCAGCAUGCCGCGGUGAAUACGUUCCCGGGCCUUGUACACACCGCCCGUCACACCAUGAGAGUCGGGAACACCCGAAGUCCGUAGCCUAACCGCAAGGGGGCGCGGCCGAAGGUGGGUUCGAUAAUUGGGGUGAAGUCGUAACAAGGUAAC
RNAcentral lists this ribosomal RNA (193 nucleotides) under uncultured bacterium. RNAcentral's name for it is "partial 16S ribosomal RNA". It matches the Rfam family "Bacterial small subunit ribosomal RNA", at positions 1307 to 1500 of the family's 1533-position model. The record is from RNAcentral.